AGCAGCCGCGGUAAUUCCAGCUCCAAUAGCGUAUAUUAAAGUUGUUGCAGUUAAAAAGCUCGUAGUUGAAUUUCGGGAUCAAUUUAUCGGUCGUGCCAAUGGUAUGAACUGGUACAAUUGGUUUCUCCCUUCUGACGAAGCAUGAUGUCAUUAAUUUGGUGUCGUGGGGAAUCAGGACUGUUACUUUGAAAAAAUUAGGGUGUUUAAAGCAAGCAUUAGCUUGAAUACAUUAGCAUGGAAUAAUGAAAUAGGACGUUUGAUCCUAUUUCGUUGGUUUCUAGGAUCGACGUAAUGAUUAAUAGGGAUAGUUGGGGGCAUUAGUAUUCAAUUGUCAGAGGUGAAAUUCUUGGAUUUAUUGAAGACUAACUACUGCGAAAGCAUUUGCCAAGGAUGUUUUCAUUAAUCAAGAACGAAAGUUAGGGGAUCGAAGACGAUCAGAUACCGUCGUAGUCUUAACCAUAAACUAUGCCGACUAGGGAUCGGAUGAUGCUAAUUUUUUAAUGACUCA
This 508-nucleotide ribosomal RNA is filed under the name uncultured fungus. RNAcentral describes it as "SSU rRNA". It matches the Rfam family "Eukaryotic small subunit ribosomal RNA", at positions 569 to 1078 of the family's 1831-position model. Lineage: Eukaryota; Fungi. The record is from RNAcentral.